CGAUACAGGUCUUGAUCGGCAUACUCUUUCGGUCCUUAUUGCUCUCUGUGAUUUGGGUUUAAACCCUGAGGCUUUGGCUGCUGUUGUCAAGGAACUUCAAAGAGAACCUCCACCAUCAACCCCGUUGUCAUCUUCUUCAUCACAAGUACCUUAACUUCGGAGUUCGGUAUUUUCUAGUAAACUUUCCAGUAAUGCCUUUGAGUUUUAAUUUGUUUUGAUUGAUGUCUUUCAGUAGAAACUUUCUUAGGUUUUCUCAUCUCGAACACGAUUGUGCUUAGUGUUCACCUUGUGCUUAGUCUCUGUAUCUAAUUCGAUCUUACAUACUAUGUUUGAUCAAUUAUAUAUUCACUCUGGUGAACUGUCUUUUCUUCUUUAUUCUCGAUACAGGUCUUGAUCGGCAUACUCUUUCGGUCCUUAUUGCUCUCUGUGAUUUGGGUUUAAACCCUGAGGCUUUGGCUGCUGUUGUCAAGGAACUUCAAAGAGAACCUCCACCAUCAACCCCGAUGUCAUCUUCUUCAUCACAAGUACCUUAACUUCGGAGUUCGGUAUUUUCUAGUAAACUUUCCAGUAAUGCCUUUGAGUUUUAAUUUGUUUUGAUUGAUGUCUUUCAGUAGAAACUUUCUUAGGUUUUCUCAUCUCGAACACGAUUGUGCUUAGUGUUCACCUUGUGCUUAGUCUCUGUAUCUAAUUCGAUCUUACAUACUAUGUUUGAUCAAUUAUAUAUUCACUCUGGUGAACUGUCUUUUCUUCUUUAUCUUGGAGCUUUUGUUGCCGGAUGUUGUAUUUGGUGUGGGAUUUCAUAGAAUUGGCUGC
This 813-nucleotide long non-coding RNA is filed under the name Gossypium barbadense (sea-island cotton). RNAcentral describes it as "long non-coding RNA (GBAR_LNC006153)". Lineage: Eukaryota; Viridiplantae; Streptophyta; Magnoliopsida; Malvales; Malvaceae. The record is from RNAcentral.